This 113-nucleotide non-coding RNA is filed under the name Intrasporangium oryzae. Its description in RNAcentral is "SAM-IV sequence". It matches the Rfam family "SAM (S-adenosyl methionine) riboswitch aptamer". Rfam says of the family: SAM-IV is a mRNA element that regulates gene expression via direct sensing of S-adenosylmethionine (SAM or AdoMet). SAM-IV riboswitches share conserved nucleotide positions with the previously described SAM-I riboswitches sequence analysis and molecular recognition experiments suggest that SAM-I and SAM-IV riboswitches share similar ligand binding sites, but have different scaffolds. The record is from RNAcentral. Lineage: Bacteria; Bacillati; Actinomycetota; Actinomycetes; Micrococcales; Intrasporangiaceae. RNAcentral also lists the same sequence under 1 other name.
GGUCAUGAGCGCCAGCGACAAGCCCCGGCUCGCUGGCCGGCAACCCUCCACGCGGUGGGGUGCCCCGGGUGAAGACCUGGCCACGCCGCACCGGGCGUGAGCAAGCGCGAGCC